This 499-nucleotide ribosomal RNA is filed under the name Acrobeloides sp. Sourhope farm. Its description in RNAcentral is "SSU rRNA". It matches the Rfam family "Eukaryotic small subunit ribosomal RNA", at positions 37 to 534 of the family's 1831-position model. The record is from RNAcentral. Lineage: Eukaryota; Metazoa; Nematoda; Chromadorea; Rhabditida; Cephalobidae.
CUAAAGAUUAAGCCAUGCAUGUCUAAGUAUAAACGAUUUAAUCGUGAAACCGCGAAUGGCUCAUUAUAACAGCUAUAAUUUACUUGAUCUUGACACAAUCCUACUUGGAUAACUGUGGUAAUUCUAGAGCUAAUACAUGCAUUAAAGCUCUGACCUCACGGGAAGAGUGCAUUUAUUAGAACAAAACCAAGCGGCUUCGGCUGUUUCUGGUUGACUCAUAGUAACUGAGCUGAUCGCAUGGUCUUGCACCGGCGACGUGUCUUUCAAGUAUCUGCCGUAUCAACUUUCGAUGGUAGUGUAUCUGACUACCAUGGUGAUCACGCGUAACGGAGAAUAAGGGUUCGGCUCCGGAGAGUUCGCCUGAGAAAUCGCGAACACAUCUAAGGAAGGCAGCAGGCGCGAAAAUUACCCACUCUCAGCACGAGGAGGUAGUGACGAAAAAUAACGAGACCGUUCUCUUAUGAGGCCGGUCAUCGGAAUGGGUACAAUUUAAACCCUU